RNAcentral lists this ribosomal RNA (491 nucleotides) under uncultured bacterium. RNAcentral's name for it is "partial 16S ribosomal RNA". It matches the Rfam family "Bacterial small subunit ribosomal RNA", at positions 29 to 507 of the family's 1533-position model. The record is from RNAcentral.
GUGAGCGCUGGCGGUAGGCCUAACCCAUGCAAGUCGAACGGCAGCACAGUAAGAGCUUGCUCUUACGGGUGGCGAGUGGCGGACGGGUGAGGAAUACAUCGGAAUCUACUUUUUCGUGGGGGAUAACGUAGGGAAACUUACGCUAAUACCGCAUACGACCUACGGGUGAAAGCAGGGGAUCUUCGGACCUUGCGCGAUUGAAUGAGCCGAUGUCGGAUUAGCUAGUUGGCGGGGUAAAGGCCCACCAAGGCGACGAUCCGUAGCUGGUCUGAGAGGAUGAUCAGCCACACUGGAACUGAGACACGGUCCAGACUCCUACGGGAGGCAGCAGUGGGGAAUAUUGGACAAUGGGCGCAAGCCUGAUCCAGCCAUACCGCGUGGGUGAAGAAGGCCUUCGGGUUGUAAAGCCCUUUUGUUGGGAAAGAAAAGCAGCAGGUUAAUACCCCGCUGUUCUGACGGUACCCAAAGAAUAAGCACCGGCUAACUUCGUG